RNAcentral lists this ribosomal RNA (879 nucleotides) under uncultured bacterium. RNAcentral's name for it is "bacterial SSU rRNA". It matches the Rfam family "Bacterial small subunit ribosomal RNA", at positions 56 to 876 of the family's 1533-position model. The record is from RNAcentral.
UGCAAGUCGAGCGGUAAGGUUCUGCACUUAGUAUUUGAUCGUAUUAGCUUGCUAUGACAAUGUAUUUAUACUGACCUAAGGCUAGGUUAACAUAAACGCGUUGAGAUCGAAUAAUGAGUGUAGAAUACACGAGCGGCGGACGGCUGAGUAACACGUAGGAACGUACCCCAAACUGAGGGAUAAGCACCAGAAAUGGUGUCUAAUACCGCAUGUGAUCUUCGGAUUAAAGCUUCGGCGGUUUGGGAACGGCCUGCGUAAGAUUAGCUUGUUGGUGAGGUAAUAGCUCACCAAGGCGACGAUCUUUAGCUGGUCUGAGAGGAUGAUCAGCCAGACUGGGACUGAGAACGGCCCAGACUCCUACGGGAGGCAGCAGUAGGGAAUUUUCCACAAUGGACGCAAGUCUGAUGGAGCAACGCCGCGUGCAGGAUGAAUGCCUUAGGGUUGUAAACUGCUUUUCUCUGUGACGAAUAUGACGGUAGCAGAGGAAUAAGGACCUGCUAACUACGUGCCAGCAGCCGCGGUCAUACGUAGGGUCCAAGCGUUAUCCGGAAUUACUGGGCGUAAAGAGUUGCGUAGGUGGCAUAGUAAGCGAAUAGUGAAAUGAUGUGGCUCAACCACAUGUCCAUUAUUUGAACUGCUAAGCUAGAGAACGAGAGAGGUUAUUGGAAUUCCUAGUGUAGGAGUGAAAUCCGUAGAUAUUAGGAGGAACACCGAUGGCGUAAGCAGAUAACUGGCUCGUUUCUGACACUAAGGCACGAAAGCGUGGGGAGCAAACGGGAUUAGAUACCCCGGUAGUCCACGCCGUAAACUAUGGAUGCUAGCUGUUAGAGGUAUCGACCCCUCUAGUAGCGAAGCUAACGCGUUAAGCAUCCCGCCUGU